RNAcentral lists this ribosomal RNA (253 nucleotides) under uncultured bacterium. RNAcentral's name for it is "partial 16S ribosomal RNA". It matches the Rfam family "Bacterial small subunit ribosomal RNA", at positions 524 to 776 of the family's 1533-position model. The record is from RNAcentral.
UACGGGGGGGGCAAGCGUUGUUCGGAAUUACUGGGCGUAAAGGGCUGGUAGGCGGCCAACUAAGUCGGAUGUGAAAUCCCCAGGCUCAACCUGGGAACUGCAUCCGAUACUGGCAGGCUUGAAUCCGGGAGAGGGAUGCGGAAUUCCAGGUGUAGCGGUGAAAUGCGUAGAUAUCUGGAGGAAUACCGGUGGCGAAGGCGGCAUCCUGGACCGGCAUUGACGCUGAGGAGCGAAAGCCAGGGGAGCAAACGGG